AUGAUUUCAAUGCCUUUGUUCUGUGUGCGGAUAGAGAACUGAUUUCUGAAGUACUGAACGAAAUUCUCGCUGCUUGGAAGGGCUUCUGAUUAAUCCUGUCUGAACGAAAAAAAAUGGAAAAAUAUAUUAGUGUGAAAGUACAGCAAUUCAUUGUCUGAAGAUGGAUAUUCUUUUGUGUAAGUUUGUUUUUACGUGUACAGGAAUUGAUUUGAUUUGAUUGGCGGAUGAAUCUUCGUCCGAUGUGUAUAUAGUUUGGGUUGAACUAGAUAAGAAAACCGCAGUGUAAAACGAUGUACAAUGUAUGAAACAAAAUUGUGAUUUGUUACUUACGAGAAUCGACGUUUGUUUUCACUAACCAGGUUUGCUAACUAUCUUAUGCUUGUUAACCAGUGUUAUACGACACUGUCCUAAUCGAAGAAUACGACAUAAAUCAAAUCGAAAACCUCAGACAAUAAAACGAUCGUAUAUUUGUCCACCGAAUUUUUUUCUGGCAAAUCACAGAACAUUAGCAUAAUUUGUCACACAUCCAAAAUGUACAUACACCAUUUUUUCACACACACACACACACACACACACACACACACACACAAAGAGGGUGAAAUUACACAUUUUCAGAAACAAAAUUGUGAUUUGAAUGUAUGAAACAAAAUUGUGAUUUGUUACUUACGAGAAUCGAUGUUUGUUUUCACUACCCUGGUUUGCUAACUAUCUUUUUUCUCUUUAACCAGAGAUAUACGACACUGUCCUAAACGAAGAACACAAAUAAGAUAACCUAUACGACAUAAAUCAAAUUGAAAACCUCACACAAUAAAAUGAUCAUACAUUUGUCUACCAAAUUCUUUUUCUGUCAAAUCACAGAACAUUAGCCUAAUUUGUCACACAUCCAAAAUGUACACACACCAACAUUUUCACACACACACACACAAAGAGGGUGAAAAUACACAUUUACAGGUAACAUUAAUUUCUGUAGAAAAUCAAAAUUAGACGGAGAUAGGGUUCUAGCCCAGAGUUGAUAGACGAAUUCUACAACGGAAAAUAUCCAUCAAUUUUUCCAGCAUCAUCACGCGAUAUGAAGUAAAUGAGAUCUUCAAUUAUCGUAAGCGAGAACAAAUGCAAAUAGAGCUUCACCAAAAGUUGCAGAAGAAUACUUUACCUUAUUAAGAUCCGUAGGAUGGUGAAAUUGCUAAUCGUUUCGCCUCGGCGUCGGCGAUCUCGUACAAAGCUGCCUGAGUGUGUCUGUGUGUGUGUGUGUGUGUGAGAGAGAGAGAGAGAGAGGGGUUAAAAUUGAAUUUCAAUUUGUUUUGGUCGGCCGCCAUGGGAAGAAGAAGAAUAUGGAGGGAAUAUUAUCCGGAUCUCCCAAUCAAUGGAAAAG
RNAcentral lists this long non-coding RNA (1372 nucleotides) under Erythranthe guttata (spotted monkey flower). Its description in RNAcentral is "long non-coding RNA (EGUT_LNC001600)". The record is from RNAcentral. Lineage: Eukaryota; Viridiplantae; Streptophyta; Magnoliopsida; Lamiales; Phrymaceae.